UAACCCCUGCCGUGUUCGUGAUUGGAAGGUGAACUUUGACCCAACACUCACUAAACGGGAGCCCGAACUGGUUUUCGGUGAGCAGGUUCUGCUUGUACAGAAAAGCCUAAAGAGACCAUAGGGCACCCACCUGAUCCUAUGGAUCAAAGACCGGCCAACACGGCACAAUGGUGGGGGUACA
This 181-nucleotide non-coding RNA is filed under the name Desulfosarcina cetonica. RNAcentral describes it as "6S". It matches the Rfam family "6S / SsrS RNA". From Rfam's summary of the family: E. coli 6S RNA was the first non coding RNA to be sequenced, but its function was unknown until recently. It consists of 184 nucleotides that fold into an extended hairpin structure with a large single-stranded internal bulge. The 6S RNA specifically associates with RNA polymerase holoenzyme containing the sigma70 specificity factor. Lineage: Bacteria; Pseudomonadati; Thermodesulfobacteriota; Desulfobacteria; Desulfobacterales; Desulfosarcinaceae. The record is from RNAcentral.